GACGAACGCUGGCGGCGCGCUUAAUACAUGCAAGUCGAACGAGAAGCCAGAGCUUGCUCUGGUGGAAAGUGGCGAACGGGUGAGUAACACGUGAGAAACCUGCCCCAAAGAUUGGGAUAAGCCUUGGAAACGAGGUCUAAUACCAAAUACCUUCUUUUUAACACAUGUUAAAAAGAAGAAAUGCUCCGGCGCUUUGGGAUGGUCUCGCGAUCUAUCAGCUUGUUGGUGAGGUAACGGCUCACCAAGGCAUCGACGGAUAGCUGGUCUGAGAGGAUGUCCAGCCACAUUGGAACUGAGACACGGUCCAAACUCCUACGGGAGGCAGCAGUAGGGAAUCUUGCACAAUGAGGGAACCUUGAUGCAGCGACGCCGCGU
Molecule: ribosomal RNA, 375 nt
Filed under: uncultured bacterium
Lineage: Bacteria
Description: bacterial SSU rRNA
Rfam family: Bacterial small subunit ribosomal RNA
Source: RNAcentral